ACUACAAAAAAAUUUCAUUUCCCUCUCUAUCUUCUUCUUAUUCUUCCUCUCUCUCACACAGAAACUCACACUCUCUCUCCCUUCACUUUCAGACCCAUACUCGGAAACCCCCAAACCCCAAACACAGAAACCCCAAUGGAGAGACCCAUACUCGGAAACCCCCAAACCCCAAACGCAGAAACCCCAACAGAGAGACCCAAACCCAAACCUCAGUUAUAUAAGGAGUUGUUCUCUCUCCCUACGCCUCUCCUCUCCUCUGCAAUAUCCCUCUCCCUACGUCGAGCCAGCCUCCUCUGUAAUCUCUCUCCCUAUGCAUCUCCUCUCCUCUGCAAUCCAACUCAAACUAGGCGAACCAGAUGCGAACCACGAGCUGAUCUCCUAAAGCCGAGCCGAGCCCAGAUGCCUCUUCCCUCCCUAAAGUCGAGCCCAGAUGCCUCUUCUCCCCUAAAGCUGAGCCAAGAUGAUCUCCUAGCUUGAACCCAAACCGGCGUUCAACUCAACUCCAUUCUUGAACCCAACGUCGAGCCCAUUCACAUCUGGAUUCUUGCUAAUAGACAAUCUGUUGCGCGGUCUAAAGAGUGGAAGAUUCGCUAUACCAAUGAGCUACAGAGGAAGGUCCAGACCCUUCAAACUGAAGCCACCACCCAUUCUGCGCAGGUUGCAUUGCUCCAAAGGGAUACUACUGGGUUAACUGCUGAGAAUAAGGAGCUCAAAAUGCAGUUACAGGCUAUGGAGCAACAAGCACAACUCAGAGAGGGAUGAAGGCCUUCACGAUUCAAGUAAAAUUGCUGCUUUUGAUUUUGAUGGAUGUCUUGCAAACACUUCUGUUAGAAGGGUAGGUCCGGAUGCUUGGUCUCUGAUGUAUCCUUCAAUACCUGCUAAGCUACAAAGCCUGUACAAUGAUGGCUAUAAACUGGUUAUUUUCUUUCCGUAUAAUCUAUCUCAAAUGUCAUGUAUUUGUCUUAUGAUUUCUCCUAGUUUGACAUUGUACACCUGGUCAAUGCUUCGUGAACUUCUAAUUAUUUACAUUAUUCACCUAAUUCCAUUUGUAAUCAUUGUCAAGUUAUCUUUACCAAUGAAUCAAACAUUGAGCGCUGGAAAAAUAAUAGACAAGUUGCUGUGGACUCAAAAAUUGGUCGCCUAAACAAAUUAAUGAGAUAAUGAAAGUCCCAAUUCAGGUUUUCAUUGCUUGUGGAGUAAGUAAUUCUAAAGGUCAAGCAGACGAUCCCUACCGCAAACCAAAAUCAAGGAUGUGCUUCAUAUGGUGGAUUGUUGUAUUCUGUGGGUAAAUUAUACCUAAACUAUAUUUAUUGUCUCUAUUUACUCGAGAAUUUUUUAACUUCUCAAUAGUAAGAACAUAAAAGAUAAAAAAAAACCAACAUCAGUUAUUGCAAAUAAACAAAGAAUUUGAUGUGUUAUAUAAUAGUUUUAAUAUUUUUUCCAUCAUAAGUUCCAAUUAUAUAUGAUUAAAUGAAGAAUUUGUUAGAUAUGCUUUAGUUCUAAUGGUUCUUUAUAAAUUGUUGUAUAAUGUAUCAUUGUGUGUGUAUUUUUUUUAAUAAAGAGCUACAACUUUUAGUGUUUCAGAAACUAAAGAGAAAGAGCACAGCAGCUGCUGCACUCAAGUCACUUCAACAUAAACUUUAGAAAUACAAGAUAGAGUUGAACGAUUCGUAUAAGAAUACUCGAGUAUGCUUAUAACUUGUUCAUGUUGCACAGAACUAAUUACUAAUAAAUUAAGAUUAUAUUUGUAUUAGAUGAAAUAUAUUUUUAUUAAGUUUGCUAUGUAA
Molecule: long non-coding RNA, 1787 nt
Organism: Humulus lupulus (European hop)
Lineage: Eukaryota; Viridiplantae; Streptophyta; Magnoliopsida; Rosales; Cannabaceae
Exons: 6
Source: RefSeq, a predicted model, not a curated record